CCAUAUAAAAAAAGAGUAUAUUUAAUAAAAUCAUAAUCUAAUUAUUCUUUUUAAUCUAUAAUAAUAAUAAUAAUUUAACAUUACUUUAAUGAUUGAGCGAAAAAAAUGAUAAUGAAAUUAAUAUUUAGAGUAAUGUAUAAGUGAACAUCUACUAGAAUCUCAACAUACUAUUAUGAGAUAGAUAUAAUUUUAAAAUAUACACAUUUUUUGACUAACAUAAAUAAUAAGUUAUGCAAUUAAUUGAUUUCCUUUUCUAUAUUAUUCGUAUCUCAAUCAAUUAGCCAGAGCAUUUAGUGUGUCUUAAAUUUGAAUUUCAAAAUUUGAAUUUCAAAAGAUUCACCUUUAUUUAGGUAUUUAUUUUUAUCUAUAAUUUUUUGACGUAGGAGGUUUCUUUAAGUGUUCCUUUAGAUAUUAUUAUAAUUUUGUAUGAGGAUUCUUUUAAAAAUUCGACUAUAUAUUAUUCGAUUAUAUUUGAGCAAACAUUUCACAAUAAUAUAAAUUUAUUAAAAUAUCAAUUUAAAGAUUCUACUAUAUAUUAUUCUACAAAUGUGAGUGAACAUUUAUCGGAAUCUCAUAAUAUUAUCAUAUUUCAAUGUUCAACUAAGUGUUCACGUGUCUUUUAAUCUUUAUUAUUUUGUUGUAUUCAACCAAACAUUUUAAAGAAUCUCCAUAUAAAAAAAGGGUAUCUUUAAUAAAAUCAUAAUCUAAUUAUUCUUUUUAAUCUAUAAUAAUAAUAAUAAUUUAACAUUACUUUAAUGAUUGAGCGAAAAAAAUGAUAAUGAAAUUAAUAUUUAGAGUAAUGUAUAAGUGAACAUCUACUAGAAUCUCAACAUACUAUUAUGAGAUAGAUAUAAUUUUAAAAUAUACACAUUAUUUGACUAACAUAAAUAAUAAGUUAUGCAAUUAAUUGAUUUCCUUUUCUAUAUUAUUCGUAUCUCAAUCAAUUAGCGAGAUCAUUUAGUGUGUCUUAAAUUUGAAUUUCAAAAUUUAAAUUUCAAAAGAUUCACCUUUAUUUAGGUAUUUAUUUUUAUCUAUAAUUUUUUGACGUAGGAGGUUUCUUUAAGUGUUCCUUUAGAUAUUAUUAUAAUUUUGUAUGAGGAUUCUUUUAAAAAUUCGACUAUAUAUUAUUCGAUUAUAUUUGAGCAAACAUUUCACAAUAAUAUAAAUUUAUUAAAAUAUCAAUUUAACUAUUCUACUAUAUAUUAUUCUACAAAUUCGAGUGAACAUUUAUCGGAAUCUCAUAAUAUUAUGAUAUUUUCAUGUUCAACUAAGUGUUCACGUGUCUUUUAAUCUUUAUUAUUUUGUUGUAUUCAACCAAACAUUUUUAAGAAUCUCCAUAUAAAAAAAUGGUAUC
This 1354-nucleotide long non-coding RNA is filed under the name Daucus carota (carrot). Its description in RNAcentral is "long non-coding RNA (DCAR_LNC003611)". The record is from RNAcentral. Lineage: Eukaryota; Viridiplantae; Streptophyta; Magnoliopsida; Apiales; Apiaceae.